UUCCCCAAAAAAAGGGGGGGAGAAAAAAAAAAAAAAGGGGGAAUUUUUUAAAAACCCCCUUUUUUUUUUUUUUAAAAGGGUUUUUUUUUUAAAAAUUUUCCCCUUAUUU
This is a small nucleolar RNA of Protopterus annectens (West African lungfish), 109 nucleotides long. The record is from RefSeq and is a predicted model, not a curated record. NCBI's taxonomy places the organism in Eukaryota, Metazoa, Chordata, Ceratodontiformes, Protopteridae.